Molecule: non-coding RNA, 422 nt
Organism: Pelobates cultripes (western spadefoot toad)
Lineage: Eukaryota; Metazoa; Chordata; Amphibia; Anura; Pelobatidae
Source: the annotation of a GenBank genome assembly
GAACCUCUGAACCCACCGAUCCAUAUUAAACCAGCAACCUCAGAUGUGGGUCAACUAGAUGCUUAACCUGUCAAUAUUUGUGCCAUGGGAUAUCCAACUUCAAUUCCGCCUCUAAUGAUCAGACCUAUAUAGUUAAUUCAAGUAUCACAUGCAAUUCUUUCUUGUUUACCGCCUCACCUGUUCAUGUGGACUCUUAUAUGUAGGUCAAACCACCAGAACAUUAAACACCAGGUUCAGAGAACACAGAUUGGCCAUUAUGCAUAAAGACUGCAGCGAUUCCUGGUAACAGGAGCUAACAGACUGCAGAAUCCACCUUCAUUUUGUGGCGGGCAGUUUGGCAUGCUCCCCCAGCAUUGAGGUACAGUGAGUUGCUCUGGCUUACCCCCAGCAUUUCUUUAGACUUGGGGCACGUUCCAGGGCAG